Molecule: ribosomal RNA, 108 nt
Filed under: Minisyncoccota bacterium
Lineage: Bacteria; Bacillati; Minisyncoccota
Source: RNAcentral
UUUGGUGGCUUGACGCCGGGGUCAUACCUCUUCCCAUUCCGAACAGAGAAGUCAAGACCGGUAGUGGCGAUGAUAGUUCUACGGAGCGAAAGUAGCUAGCCGCCAGAA